Molecule: long non-coding RNA, 819 nt
Organism: Dermacentor albipictus
Lineage: Eukaryota; Metazoa; Arthropoda; Arachnida; Ixodida; Ixodidae
Source: RefSeq, a predicted model, not a curated record
GCUAACGUGCCCAAAGGCGCUCACUGCGUUUCCUUCGGCGCGUUCCCGAUAGGCGUCACUCGGAUCAAAAGUCAAGCAUGUGCUUCGACUUAAGUUGCAUCUCUGCAUACGGGGGUAAAUAAACGUUUCAGCAGACAAUUCUUGGCCAAUCCCCCAGUGUGGGUAUCAGCCAUAAUAUGAGCCCAUCAUCAUCAGUUCAUCUCCCCCUAGAAAGCAGCAAACGAAAGAGGUUCACGUAGACCAAGAAAUUGAUAUAGCUGAGUACAGCACUCCGACGCGCCCGGCGUCAAGCAACGCUCACCUGCGUGCCGACACCAAAGAAAGCGUCUCCAAUGCCCUGGGACGUGAGUCGCAGCACAAGAAGAAGACGUUGCAUCAUGUUCAAGUUCCUGAGGCAGCUCGCCCUCUUCCUCUGGCAAAUCGCCGUAGGCGUCUUUAUGGUGCCGCUUCUAUGCGGCCUUGCGGCUUUUCAUCUGAUUGGAGCAGGAAUAAUGCUCGGCAUAGCUAUUGUCACCAGCAUGCUGGCUGGAGUCAUUUUGUUUUUCGCGUCGACAGCAAUGCCGAUGGCCAUACACUGUGGAACCGCCGCUGGGACCAUCCGUCCGGAAGUUCUACGGAGCCAGACGUUGACGAUGAUCCGUUUUUCCGAACAUGCCUUUACCCUCACGACAACAGUCUUUAACCUCUGUGCGGAUUAUGGAGAAGCUGUCAAGCGGUUCCUCUACUUGGCUUCAGAGGCCAUUGUCACCACAUGGAGAACGAUUCGACGAGAUGUCACUGACGAACAAAAUCCACCGGAGGAAUAAAAUUGAGAUGGCA